This 85-nucleotide transfer RNA is filed under the name Occallatibacter sp. Its description in RNAcentral is "tRNA-Leu". It matches the Rfam family "tRNA". Rfam says of the family: Transfer RNA (tRNA) molecules are approximately 80 nucleotides in length. Lineage: Bacteria; Pseudomonadati; Acidobacteriota; Terriglobia; Terriglobales; Acidobacteriaceae. The record is from RNAcentral.
GGGGAUGUGGUGGAAAUGGGAGACACACUGGUCUUAGAAACCAGCGCCAUCGAGCAUGAGAGUUCAAAUCUCUCCAUCCCCACCA